GAUGAACGCUGGCGGCGUGCCUAAUACAUGCAAGUCGAGCGAACGGACGAGAAGCUUGCUUCUCUGAUGUUAGCGGCGGACGGGUGAGUAACACGUGGAUAACCUACCUAUAAGACUGGGAUAACUUCGGGAAACCGGAGCUAAUACCGGAUGAUAUUUUGAACCGCAUGGUUCAAAAGUGAAAGACGGUCUUGCUGUCACUUAUAGAUGGAUCCGCGCUGCAUUAGCUAGUUGGUAAGGUAACGGCUUACCAAGGCAACGAUGCAUAGCCGACCUGAGAGGUGGAUCGGCCACACUGGAACUGAGACACGGUCCAGACUCCUACGGGAGGCAGCAGUAGGGAAUCGUCCGCAAUGGGCGAAAGCCUGACGGAGCAACGCCGCGUGAGUGAUGAAGGUCUUCGGAUCGUAAAACUCUGUUAUUAGGGAAGAACAUAUGUGUAAGUAACUGUGCACAUCUUGACGGUACCUAAUCAGAAAGCCACGGCUAACUACGUG
RNAcentral lists this ribosomal RNA (497 nucleotides) under uncultured bacterium. RNAcentral's name for it is "partial 16S ribosomal RNA". It matches the Rfam family "Bacterial small subunit ribosomal RNA", at positions 28 to 507 of the family's 1533-position model. The record is from RNAcentral.